Alnus glutinosa is the source of this 407-nucleotide long non-coding RNA. RefSeq lists it as uncharacterized. The record is from RefSeq and is a predicted model, not a curated record. The transcript has 3 exons. NCBI's taxonomy places the organism in Eukaryota, Viridiplantae, Streptophyta, Magnoliopsida, Fagales, Betulaceae.
GGUUGCGGUUUUGAUUUUCUCGACCCAGUACCAGUAGAGCAACUUGUGGCGAAUCUCGAUGUUGUUCGGUGGUUCUGGUUCGGUGGUCAUGGGCUGUCCCAAUGGUCGCGGGUUGUUCCGGUGGUUUUGGUUGAUUUUCCUGAUGUUACGGUCUUGUGUUUGGAAAUGUGUUUGGGAACGUGUUUGGGGUCAAUGAAUGGCCACUUGCCUUGGAGAAGACUUCUUGAAUCUUCCUAGCUCCAGCUGGCACCCGAUCAGCCCUUGCAUGCUCUUAGCUUGGCCUUCCUUCAACACGUCCAGACCAUGUGCCACUUCCUUAGUUGGUCCUUCAUGCAACCAUAACACCUGAGCAUUACCCUAUGGAGGCACCACAGGUAAAUAAUCAACCCCAUUUUUUUUUCCUUAUC